GAUGAAGAACGCAGCGAAAUGCGAUAAGUAAUGCGAAUUGCAGAAUCCGUGAGUCAUCGAAUCUUUGAACGCACAUUGCGCCCUCUGGUAUUCCGGGGGGCAUGCCUGUCCGAGCGUCAUUUGCAACCCUCAAGCCCGGCUUGUGUGAUGGGUGCCGUCCCCUACGGGACGCGCCCCGAAGGCAAUGGCGGCGUCGCGGUUAUCCGAUCAGCCAAAGUGUAUGGGGCUUUGUCACUCACUUUACGGCCCGGACCGGCGCCAGUCCGAAUCAAUCUUUUUUCUAAAGUUGACCUCGGAUCAGGUAGGGAUACCCGCUGAACUUAAGCAUAUCAAUAAGCGGAGGA
Molecule: unclassified non-coding RNA, 344 nt
Filed under: soil metagenome
Description: partial contains 5.8S ribosomal RNA, internal transcribed spacer 2, and large subunit ribosomal RNA
Rfam family: 5.8S ribosomal RNA (bases 1-119)
Source: RNAcentral